AAGGAUCAUUAAUGAAUUUGAAAGGCGAGGGCUUGAUGCUGGCGCGGAGACGCGGAUGUGCACGGCCCCCGUCCUCAGUCCAUUCAACCCCUGUGCACCCUAUGGGAGUUACUAGUCGACAGUAAAGUGAGUCAGUAGUCGAGAGGCGAACACUUACGGGAUGGUCGGCGAACACUUCAAGUAUUAUCAACCCUUUGUUGUCAUGUAGAAUGGAAUGCUCCUUGUGGGCGAAAUGAAAUACAACUUUCAACAACGGAUCUCUUGGCUCUCGCAUCGAUGAAGAACGCAGCGAAAUGCGAUAAGUAAUGUGAAUUGCAGAAUUCAGUGAAUCAUCGAAUCUUUGAACGCACCUUGCGCCCCUUGGUAUUCCGAGGGGCAUGCCUGUUUGAGUGUCAUGUUAAUUUCAACUCCCCUUGUUUCUUAACUCGGGUGUGUUGGACUUGGAAGCUGCUGGCCCCCUUCGUUGUGGUCGGCUCUUCUUAAAUGCAUUAGCUGGGCUUUGGCUCGCGCUGAACGGUGUAAUAGUAAUCUUACAUUCACCUGAGCGCUUGCCUAACAAGUCUGCUUCUAAUCGUCCGUGUUUUCGGACAAGGUCGCUUUGUCGCCUUCAUUUGACACCUUGACCUCAAAUCAGGUAGGAUUACCCGCUGAACUUAA
RNAcentral lists this ribosomal RNA (657 nucleotides) under Phellinus igniarius. RNAcentral describes it as "eukaryotic LSU rRNA". The stretch from base 242 to 395 matches the Rfam family "5.8S ribosomal RNA". Lineage: Eukaryota; Fungi; Basidiomycota; Agaricomycetes; Hymenochaetales; Hymenochaetaceae. RNAcentral also lists the same sequence under 1 other name. The record is from RNAcentral.